This 393-nucleotide ribosomal RNA is filed under the name uncultured bacterium. RNAcentral describes it as "partial 16S ribosomal RNA". It matches the Rfam family "Bacterial small subunit ribosomal RNA", at positions 523 to 918 of the family's 1533-position model. The record is from RNAcentral.
AUACGGAGGAUCCGAGCGUUAUCCGGAUUUAUUGGGUUUAAAGGGAGCGUAGGUGGGAUAUUAAGUCAGCUGUGAAAGUUUGGGGCUCAACCUUAAAAUUGCAGUUGAUACUGGUUUCCUUGAGUACGGUACAGGUGGGCGGAAUUCGUGGUGUAGCGGUGAAAUGCUUAGAUAUCACGAAGAACUCCGAUCGCGAAGGCAGCUCACCGGGCCGGAACUGACACUGAUGCUCGAAAGUGCGGGUAUCAAACAGGAUUAGAUACCCUGGUAGUCCGCACAGUAAACGAUGAAUACUCGCUGUUUGCGAUACACGGUAAGCGGCCAAGCGAAAGCGUUAAGUAUUCCACCUGGGGAGUACGCCGGCAACGGUGAAACUCAAAGGAAUUGACGGGG